GAGUUCGGUGGCAGCGGCGGAACGCGCUGGACGCAACGGUCUUACCUUGCUCUUCUGUUUUCUCAGACCCGAAUCGACCAAUUCACUGCAGACCGGAGUCUUUGAAUCGCGCGCCACCGGUUAUCUGUGAACGAGUGUGCUGCCACAACGGGGAAAAGCCGCGGCAUAUCGUUCGGCGGGGGUGUGUCCCUACAUUCGGUGGCAGCGGCGGAACGCGCUGGACGCAACGGUCUUACCUUGCUCUUCUGUUUUCUCAGGUACUUCCUCCGCCGGAUUGGGUGCCCGACUCCUUUUGCCGCCGGACUCUGUCGCUGUUCAUUGCAGAGGUGCUAAAAGUGGAAUCUCUCAUCGUUCACUGCAGACCAGAAUCGACCAAUUCACUGCAGACCGGAGUCUUUGAAUCGCGCGCCACCGGUUAUCUGUGAACGAGUGUGCUGCCACAACGGGGAAAAGCCGCGGCAUAUCGUUCGGCGGGGGUGUGUCCCUACAUUCGGUGGCAGCGGCGGAACGCGCUGGACGCAACGGUCUUACCUUGCUCUUCUGUUUUCUCAGACCCGAAUCGACCAAUUCACUGCAGACCGGAGUCUUUGAAUCGCGCGCCACCGGUUAUCUGUGAACGAUUGUGCUGCCACAACGGGGAAAAGCCGCGGCAUAUCGUUCGGCGGGGGUGUGUCCCUACAUUCGGUGGCAGCGGCGGAACGCGCUGGACGCAACGGUCUUACCUUGCUCUUCUGUUUUCUCAGACCCGAAUCGACCAAUUCACUGCAGACCGGAGUCUUUGAAUCGCGCGCCACCGGUUAUCUGUGAACGAGUGUGCUGCCACAACGGGGAAAAGCCGCGGCAUAUCGUUCGGCGGGGGUGUGUCCCUACAUUCGGUGGCAGCGGCGGAACGCGCUGGACGCAACGGUCUUACCUUGCUCUUCUGUUUUCUCAGACCCGAAUCGACCAAUUCACUGCAGACCGGAGUCUUUGAAUCGCGCGCCACCGGUUAUCUGUGGACGAGUGUGCUGCCACAACGGGGA
Molecule: long non-coding RNA, 1022 nt
Filed under: Dermacentor andersoni
Lineage: Eukaryota; Metazoa; Arthropoda; Arachnida; Ixodida; Ixodidae
Description: uncharacterized LOC126517765
Source: RNAcentral